GAUGAACGCUGGCGGUGUGGAUAAGGCAUGCAAGUCAAACGGCUCGCAAGAGCAGUGGCGAACGAGGUAGUAACACGUGGGUACAUACUCCAAAGUCAGGAAUAACCAGUCGAAAGAUUGGAUAAUACUUGAUAAUGUCUUCGGACUAAAGAUUUAUCGCUUUGGAAAUGGCCUGCGGAGUAUCAGCUAGUUGGUAGGGUAAUGGCCUACCAAGGCUAUGACGCUUAGGGGGAGGGUG
This 238-nucleotide ribosomal RNA is filed under the name uncultured bacterium. RNAcentral's name for it is "partial 16S ribosomal RNA". It matches the Rfam family "Bacterial small subunit ribosomal RNA", at positions 28 to 296 of the family's 1533-position model. The record is from RNAcentral.